This 471-nucleotide ribosomal RNA is filed under the name uncultured bacterium. RNAcentral describes it as "bacterial SSU rRNA". It matches the Rfam family "Bacterial small subunit ribosomal RNA", at positions 954 to 1387 of the family's 1533-position model. The record is from RNAcentral.
GCAUAACGCGAAGAACCUUACCUGGUCUUGACAUAGUAAGAACUUUCCAGAGAUGGAUUGGUGCCUUCGGGAACUUACAUACAGGUGCUGCAUGGCUGUCGUCAGCUCAUGUCGUGAGAUGUUGGGUUAAGUCCCGCAACGAGCGCAACCCUUUUCCUUAUUUGCCAGCGGGUUAAGCCGGGAACUUUAAGGAUACUGCCAGUGACAAACUGGAGGAAGGCGGGGACGACGUCAAGUCAUCAUGGCCCUUACGACCAGGGCUACACACGUGCUACAAUGGUCGGUACAAAGGGUUGCUACCUAGCGAUAGGAUGCUAAUCUCAAAAAGCCGAUCGUAGUCCGGAUCGCAGUCUGCAACUCGACUGCGUGAAGUCGGAAUCGCUAGUAAUCGUGAAUCAGAAUGUCACGGUGAAUACGUUCCCGGGUCUUGUACACACCGAGUCUUGUACACACCGGGUCUUGUACACACCG